Molecule: non-coding RNA, 132 nt
Organism: Meriones unguiculatus (Mongolian gerbil)
Lineage: Eukaryota; Metazoa; Chordata; Mammalia; Rodentia; Muridae
Source: Ensembl
GGCCUCUUGUCCUUUGGGCUGUGGGGCUCACGUUCUCUUCAGCCAGGGCUGGAGGCCAAGAUCAGCAUGUGAGGUGCAUCUUCGUCAGGACUGCUGUGAGCAGGCAGCCUUGUUUUCCGGCCUCAGACAAUU